Molecule: ribosomal RNA, 493 nt
Filed under: uncultured bacterium
Lineage: Bacteria
Description: bacterial SSU rRNA
Rfam family: Bacterial small subunit ribosomal RNA
Source: RNAcentral
UGCAAGUAGACGCACAGUUUAUACCGUAGCUUGCUACACCAUAAACUGUGAGUUGCGAACGGGUGAGUAACGCGUAGGUAACCUGCCUGGUAGCGGGGGAUAACUAUUGGAAACGAUAGCUAAUACCGCAUAAUAUUGAUUAUUGCAUGAUAAUUGAUUGAAAGAUGCUAUUGCAUCACUACCAGAUGGACCUGCGUUGUAUUAGCUAGUAGGUGAGGUAACGGCUCACCUAGGCGACGAUACAUAGCCGACCUGAGAGGGUGAUCGGCCACACUGGGACUGAGACACGGCCCAGACUCCUACGGGAGGCAGCAGUAGGGAAUCUUCGGCAAUGGACGAAAGUCUGACCGAGCAACGCCGCGUGAGUGAAGAAGGUUUUCGGAUCGUAAAGCUCUGUUGUAAGAGAAGAACGGGUGUGAGAGUGGAAAGUUCACACUGUGACGGUAUCUUACCAGAAAGGGACGGCUAACUACGUGCCAGCAGCCGCGGUAAU